GGUGUGGUGUGUGGUUGAUAUGAUGGUGUGGUGUGGUGUGGCAGUGCAAAUAUCUCUUGCCUGUCAUAGCCACGUCAACACCCCUCCUCCUCCACUAAGGCCCCACUCCCAUACUGCCCUCCUCUCCCCCCCAAGACUCCACUCCUAUAAAGUCCUCCCGCUCCUCCCCAGGCCCUACUCCCAUUAUAUCCUCCCUCUCCCACCCAGGCCCCACUCCCAUAAUGCCCUCCCCUUCCCCUCUCCAAAAGACCUCACUCGUACUUCACCCAUCCCCUUCCAUCAUUUUCUACAAGGCGCCGCAUGUCCCCUUGCUGCAGUGUGGCACAUGCACGCUGGAAUGGGAGAGGCGGCGGGGAGGAGCCUUGCCUCGUACUGUCUUGUCCUCACACACCAGUUCACCAGCAGCAGCAGGGAGUUCACCACUUGCUAUCUCCCAACAGCUGCCGUGUAACCUGGCCUCUCCAAGUAAUGGCCGCGGUGACACGUGGCUUCACUUCCUGUCGCUCGCUGAGGAGCUUUUAGCGUGCACUGUACUCGUACAACACACAGACACACGCACACGACAGUCAUGGAGAGAGUCUUGCCGUGCCCGAUGCUGCUCCUGCUGCUCCUGGCGCUAAGUCCUGGAGGUGCACCAAGCCCCACCCUGGCCCAGGACUGCAGUGCUGCCGACACAGUAGUGAAAAAAGGACAACUGUAACGCUCCUUUUUAUUAUUUCUGUGUUUCUUUGAGUCUCCCCAAUAAUUGUUUUCUUUUGUAGCUUGCGGUGAAGAGGAGGAUAAUAGCGGUAAUUAAAGGUUUAGUGAUUAUAUGAAAAAGUAUAUUUAUAAGGCGUGUAUUCGUGGGAGUGAUUUAGAAGUCUUGAAACAUUUGUUAUAAAUAGUCUUUACUUAUUUCAACUGUGGUUUUCUCUAAUCAGUGGUAAUACGAAUAAUAGGAUUACAUCAUGUUGCGUCAGCCUACCAGUAACUCAUAAGGUGUCAUUCCCUAGCUUAUAAAAUAUGUUAGUAAUUUAGAAUUCAAUUAUUAACUUCAACUAAUGUCCAGCCUAUAUGCUCACCUUGCUAGCCAAUUAUUCCUGCAUUUUUAUUUAAACUCACGGUUCAGUAAAAUUAUUUGUGAAAGAAGAGAGAGAGAGAACUAGCUAAGGUUCCAAUAACUUCAGAGGCCUGGGGGUGGGUGUUGAGGGGGAGAGCACAGAAUGGCGUCUCCCUUCCCUCUGGCAACAGGUCUCCUGCAUGCUGGAAGGAGUGCGAGACCAACACUGUCCAGGCAAUGCCCACGAUCCUCAGCGUGGUGGCUCACGGCCCUUCCAGGUGGUUGACCGGACACCCACCUGAAAACUGUCGGUUCCAGAAACUCCGUAUCUUAAAUUACACCAAUUGGGACAGGUGCAUACACCCUCCAUCCACCACCUCUGAGAAGUCCUCUACUCCUAAGCUGACACUGGAGAAGAUAAUGAUCAUAACGACGUCAGCAGCAGGAGUAGUGGCGGUUGGUGUGAUGGUGAUGGUAGUGUUCUAUUGGAAGUGGAAAGCUGUCAUAUCGCCACGCCCAGCCACUCUCUCCCCGCCCCCCGAUCAGCACGUCAUAGAAAACGACAUCUACGAACCAUUUGACGGUGACGCUAACGACGCAGCGCCGCAAACCUUCCAGAACGACCUGUACGAGUCCUUCAGCGGCCACGAGCGCCGGCGCGACACCUAGGAGAGAGAGAGAGAGAGAGAGAGAGAGAGAGAGAGAGAGAGAGAGAGUUUCCUUUGAGUCUAUUGGUCAGUUUCACAUUGAGCAAAGAACACACACCAAACCUGACACAGAUAUGCCGAGGAUUGUCAAUUGUGGCCUAUAAUAUGAUUACACACACACACACACACACACACACACACACACACACACACACACACACACACACACAGACUGAGGUA
Molecule: long non-coding RNA, 1926 nt
Organism: Scylla paramamosain (green mud crab)
Lineage: Eukaryota; Metazoa; Arthropoda; Malacostraca; Decapoda; Portunidae
Exons: 3
Source: RefSeq, a predicted model, not a curated record